This 449-nucleotide ribosomal RNA is filed under the name uncultured bacterium. Its description in RNAcentral is "partial 16S ribosomal RNA". It matches the Rfam family "Bacterial small subunit ribosomal RNA", at positions 338 to 795 of the family's 1533-position model. The record is from RNAcentral.
CCUACGGGUGGCUGCAGUGGGGAAUAUUGGACAAUGGGGGAAACCCUGAUCCAGCAAUGCCGCGUGUGUGAAGAAGGCCUGCGGGUUGUAAAGCACUUUCGGUUGGGAAGAAAAGUUUGGCGCCAAUACCGCCGAACCUUGACGUUACUGACAGAAGAAGCCCCGGCUAACUCUGUGCCAGCAGCCGCGGUAAUACAGAGGGUGCAAGCGUUAAUCGGGCGCGCGGAGCUUAAAGCGCACGUCGGGGGUCAAAUCCCCGGGCUUAACCUGGGAACUGCAUUCGAUACUACAUGGCUAGAGUAUGGUAGAGGGAAGUGGAAGUUCCGGUGUAGCGGUGAAAUGCGUAGAUAUCGGAAGGAACACCAAUGGCGAAGGCAGCUUCCUGGACUAAUACUGACACUGAGGCACGAAAGCGUGGGUAGCAAACAGGAUUAGAUACCCCUGUAGUC